Non-coding RNA from Camelina sativa (false flax), 1030 nucleotides. The record is from RefSeq and is a predicted model, not a curated record. NCBI's taxonomy places the organism in Eukaryota, Viridiplantae, Streptophyta, Magnoliopsida, Brassicales, Brassicaceae.
GAAACUUAAUUUUUAGAAAAUGUGUGAACUUGAUGUUGUUGUGAUUCCUGCUAAAGCAAACUAUGUAAGCUUCAAUUGUUUAUGUCUUGGUCAUUCUUCUCAACAAAUUGUUGGUCGGCUACUUUGUUUUUAAGAUACAUCAUCACUUCAGCAGAAUGAAAACUCAACAACCUGGCAUCAAGGUCAACAACCCAAUAUCAUGAAGGAUAAUGAAUUUAUGGGGAUAAACCUUCUUUUACUCGAUGAACAGUGCUCAGUAAUCCAUACCUUUAUCCCAUCAGCCUAUGCCUCUCAAUUUCGUAAUAUUUUAUGUCAAGGCGUAAUGUUCAAUUUUGGAGUAUUUAAAGUGGGUCGUUGCACAAGGCUCUACAAGAUCAUUCGUUUCCUUUUUGCAACAAAAAUCAUUGAACUUCCAGAUACAUCAGGUAGAAUACGAUUGAAAGCAAUGGCUUCCAUGCUACAACGACUAGCUACUAAACCACAAUCCUAUUGUCCAACGACUACUGCUACACCUUCCUAGGAAGCAAAGCAAUGUAUUUGAAGAAAAGAUAAGCUUGAAAAUGUGGAAUAUCAUUACGGACAUGGGACGGUGAUGCUUACAUAGUAUUUUGAAAUGAAUAACAUAAUCAAGAAGCCCAGAAGUUGAAACAUAUGCAGAUGCUAACAGAGUUUUUAUGGGAUAGUGCAAAUAACAUGUACCGUAGAAGAGAGCAGCGGGAAAACAUUGGAAGGGUUAUAAACAUAAACCCUACAAUAGGUGAUUUGUAAGAUCUUCGAAUCAUGCUCAGCGAUGUGAAGGAUGCCACAAGUUUCGAUCAUUUGAAGAUUGUAGGAGUGUUAUACAUGAUAUUUUUAAAGCAGCAUGUUACACAAAAUGGUUGUUAGAUGGACACAAAUAAUGAGAUGAAGCUAUUGAUGAAGCCACGCAAUGAAUAUAUUCUGUCAAAUUCAUAUGUCGUACUUUCUUUUUCCUAGAAAACUUUAUAACGUUUCUUCUUCACUGGAUAUAACAACACCAUGAUUCAUGACU